UAAUUUGAGAGUUUGAUCUUGGCUCAGGAUGAACGCUGGCGGCGUGCUUAACACAUGCAAGUCGAGCGUAGUUUAACUAGGUGCUUGCACCUAGUUAAACUAAGCGGCGGA
This 111-nucleotide ribosomal RNA is filed under the name Clostridiales bacterium. Its description in RNAcentral is "partial 16S ribosomal RNA". It matches the Rfam family "Bacterial small subunit ribosomal RNA", at positions 1 to 102 of the family's 1533-position model. Lineage: Bacteria; Bacillati; Bacillota; Clostridia; Eubacteriales. The record is from RNAcentral.